GUGAUGUUUCACUACGACAUUUAUUGCAAACGGACGCAGCAUUUGGGUCACUAAUAAACGUUGCCAGAAAUGAUAGAGGAACGUCUAUUGGAAUCCCCAAAGUGAACCACAUCUCGUCCCAUGACACUGGGGGUGGCUUCCCAACUUCCUUUUUCCGUUCACUUAUAAGGGUCGCGGGAGCGCUGGAGCCUGUCCCAGCCGUCAUCCAGCAGGAGGCGUUGGUACACCCUGGACUGGAUGCCAGCCAAUCGCAGGAAACCGGAGUGCCCGGAUAAAGCCCAUGCAGCCACGGAGAGAACAUGCAAACUCCACACAGGUGGGGCCAGGAUUGAACCUGGGUCCUCAGAAUGGUGAGGCCAACACUUUACAGCUGAGCCACCGUGGCUUUGGCAACCAUCUUUUGACAUAUUGAUCCCAGGAUACUACGUUGAAGUGAGUACAGGCGCUUCAAUCAAACAAAAGUAGUGCUUUUCUGCCAUGUUGGAACCCAGGAACUAUGUUGAAAGCAGUUGAGGACCUUAAUUCAGACAAAAAUAGUGCUUUCCUCCCAUCUUGGUACAAAGGUUCGAUGUUGAAGGGAAUUGAGGACCUUCGUUCAGACAAAAGUAGUGCUUUUCUGCCAUGUUGGAACCAAAGAACUAUGUUCAAAACAGUUGAGGACCUACAUUCAGACAAAAAUAGCACUUUGCUACCAUCUUGGUACGAAGGAUCGAUAUUGAAGAGAACUGAGGACCUUCAUUCAGACAAAAGUACUGCUUUACUACCAUCUUGUGCCAUCUUGUAGCUACUAAUGAACCAUGUUGAAGUGAGUACAGGCACUCCAUUCAGGCAAAAGUAGCGCUUUUCUGCCAUGUUGUAACCAAGGAACUACGUUGAAAGCAGUUGAGGACCUUCAUUCAGACAAAAAUAGCGCUUUGCUGCAAUCUUGGUACGAAGGAUCGAUAUUGAAGAGAAUUGAGGACCUUCAUUCAGACAAAAGUAGUGCUUUACUACCAUCUUGGUAGCUACUAAUGAACUAUCUUGAAGUGAGUACAGGCACUCCAUUCAGACAAAAGUAGCGCUUUUCUGCCAUGUUGUAACCAAGGAACUACGUUGAAAGCAGUUGAGGACCUUCAUUCAGACAAAAAUAGCGCUUUGCUGCCACCUUGGUUACGAAGGAUCGAUGUUGAAGAGAACUGAGGACCUUCAUUCACACAAAAGUAGUUAACUACCAUCUUGUGCCGUCUUGGUACCUACCAAUGAACUAUGUUGAAGUGAGUUGAGGGCCUUGAUUGAGACAAAAGGAGUGCUUUCCUGUCAUCUUGUUGCACCUACAGGCAAUUAUAAACCUUUUUGGGUGAUGUCAGUUGUGUAUUUUUGUUAUUCGCUCCGUAAAGCAGUUCAGGCCCACCUUGGAAGAAGCAUAACUGCCAGUGGGACAGUUCUUUGGAUCAAUCAAAUAUGUCACCUCCUUCUACCGGACGCAAACGCAGUCAUCUCCAUAAAGCCAGUACCGUAACUCGAACCAGACCGCGCGGUGACGUAAGUCACGUGGCCGCUGAAGAUUUCUUAAUGAAAGGUAGUGACACGCUUGGCACCACACCUGCCCAGCACUUCCUCCUCCCCACCGACUUCACAAUGUAGAGAACGUCACCUAACCGCUCGUUGCGUUGACUCCGUUGAGUCAUCCGCGCUCUCUUCGUGUAUUCUGUUUCCGAACGAGCGUCGUCGUCCCCCCCCCGCUUCCCCGGCUUCCGUUAAAUGCUGCCUAUUUACGCUGGCCACAGGAAAUGAGCGGUGCAGAUAGAGCGCGCGCUUUCCUGUCCAGGCCUGGGACGGCGAGAUAAAUGGCCAAAGGCUGCCUUGGAAAAAAAAAAGUUGGUGCACUUCUGCGCCGCGAAUGAGCCCCUCAAAGAGAUAACUUGUCCCUGUUCCCCUGACCUACACAAACACUAAAGAGUCAGUCAUUGUUUGACCUAGAACAUAAAACUUUAUUGCAUACACGGGCCAUAAAAUGACAUUUAUGGAUGUGUGUUAUAAUUAUACAAUUAUAGCUCUGAGGAUGACGCGCGCAAUCUCGGUCUUACUUUGCAGUAGUUGUCCAAGUGCUUCAGCCUUUUGACUGCUACAUCUCGGAUGUGACUUCGGCGAAACAGGACUUUAC
Syngnathoides biaculeatus (alligator pipefish) is the source of this 2143-nucleotide long non-coding RNA. RefSeq lists it as uncharacterized. NCBI's taxonomy places the organism in Eukaryota, Metazoa, Chordata, Actinopteri, Syngnathiformes, Syngnathidae. The record is from RefSeq and is a predicted model, not a curated record. The transcript is spliced from 4 exons.